This 437-nucleotide ribosomal RNA is filed under the name Fusobacterium sp. oral taxon 370. RNAcentral describes it as "bacterial SSU rRNA". It matches the Rfam family "Bacterial small subunit ribosomal RNA", at positions 28 to 477 of the family's 1533-position model. Lineage: Bacteria; Fusobacteriati; Fusobacteriota; Fusobacteriia; Fusobacteriales; Fusobacteriaceae. The record is from RNAcentral.
GAUGAACGCUGACAGAAUGCUUAACACAUGCAAGUCUACUUGAAUUUGGGUCCUAGACUUAGAUUUGGGUGGCGGACGGGUGAGUAACGCGUAAAGAACUUGCCUCACAGUUAGGGACAACAUUUGGAAACGAAUGCUAAUACCUGAUAUUAUGAUUAUACGGCAUCGUAUAAUUAUGAAAGCUAUAUGCGCUGUGAGAGAGCUUUGCGUCCCAUUAGCUAGUUGGAGAGGUAACGGCUCACCAAGGCGAUGAUGGGUAGCCGGCCUGAGAGGGUGAACGGCCACAAGGGGACUGAGACACGGCCCUUACUCCUACGGGAGGCAGCAGUGGGGAAUAUUGGACAAUGGACCAAGAGUCUGAUCCAGCAAUUCUGUGUGCACGAUGACGUUUUUCGGAAUGUAAAGUGCUUUCAGUUGGGAAGAAAAAAAUGACGGUA